CUGAGCCCAUCUGCCUGCCCAUGCUUCUGGCUAAUAUCGGCGGAAAGGCGCCGAAUGGAUUCUGAUUAUCAGUCAGCCCCAAGCCAUCAAAGUCGACUAAUCAACAUUAAAAAACAAAACUCGUGGACUUUAGGGCGAUAGUAUGUAAAUUAAGCACACCGCUAACAUGAUUUUCAGUUAACGAUUUAAUUAUAGUAAUGAUAAGAUAGAUAAAAAUCGUGACACUGACUUGUGAACGGCAAACUGAUGCUCAUGUUGGACAGGAACCCGUCUGGAGGGUACCUGACGAACGGUAGGGACAACGAUGGCGUUAUCGUUAGCCUGGUACCGGGUG
This is a long non-coding RNA of Aphis gossypii (cotton aphid), 334 nucleotides long. RefSeq lists it as uncharacterized. The transcript has 3 exons. Lineage: Eukaryota; Metazoa; Arthropoda; Insecta; Hemiptera; Aphididae. The record is from RefSeq and is a predicted model, not a curated record.